UAAACCGGGAGGAAGGUGGGGAUGACGUCAAGUCCUCAUGGCCCUUAUAGGUGGGGCUACACACGUCAUACAAUGGCUGGUACAAAGGGUUGCCAACCCGCGAGGGGGAGCCAAUCCCAUAAAGCCAGUCGUAGUCCGGAUCGCAGUCUGCAACUCGACUGCGUGAAGUCGGAAUCGCUAGUAAUCGUGGAUCAGCAUGUCACGGUGAAUACGUUCCCGGGUCUU
This 225-nucleotide ribosomal RNA is filed under the name uncultured Comamonas sp. RNAcentral's name for it is "partial 16S ribosomal RNA". It matches the Rfam family "Bacterial small subunit ribosomal RNA", at positions 1158 to 1382 of the family's 1533-position model. The record is from RNAcentral. Lineage: Bacteria; Pseudomonadati; Pseudomonadota; Betaproteobacteria; Burkholderiales; Comamonadaceae.